RNAcentral lists this ribosomal RNA (547 nucleotides) under uncultured bacterium. Its description in RNAcentral is "bacterial SSU rRNA". It matches the Rfam family "Bacterial small subunit ribosomal RNA", at positions 777 to 1329 of the family's 1533-position model. The record is from RNAcentral.
AAUAGAUACCCCGGUAGUCCACGCCCUAAACGAUGUCUACUAGUUGUCGGGUUUUAAUUAACUUGGUAACGCAGCUAACGCGUGAAGUAGACCGCCUGGGGAGUACGGUCGCAAGAUUAAAACUCAAAGGAAUUGACGGGGACCCGCACAAGCGGUGGAUGAUGUGGAUUAAUUCGAUGCAACGCGAAAAACCUUACCUACCCUUGACAUGUCAGGAACCUCGGAGAGAUCUGAGGGUGCCCGAAAGGGAGCCUGAACACAGGUGCUGCAUGGCUGUCGUCAGCUCGUGUCGUGAGAUGUUGGGUUAAGUCCCGCAACGAGCGCAACCCUUGUCAUUAGUUGCUACGAAAGGGCACUCUAAUGAGACUGCCGGUGACAAACCGGAGGAAGGUGGGGAUGACGUCAAGUCCUCAUGGCCCUUAUGGGUAGGGCUUCACACGUCAUACAAUGGUACAUACAGAGGGCCGCCAACCCGGCGAGGGGGAGCUAAUCCCAGAAAGUGUAUCGUAGUCCGGAUCGUAGUCUGCAACUCGACCCGUGAAGUCGG